This 680-nucleotide ribosomal RNA is filed under the name Staphylococcus aureus. Its description in RNAcentral is "partial 23S ribosomal RNA". It matches the Rfam family "Bacterial large subunit ribosomal RNA", at positions 376 to 1058 of the family's 2925-position model. The record is from RNAcentral. Lineage: Bacteria; Bacillati; Bacillota; Bacilli; Caryophanales; Staphylococcaceae.
UAGUCGAAAAUGUUGUCUCUCUUGAGUGGAUCCUGAGUACGACGGAGCACGUGAAAUUCCGUCGGAAUCUGGGAGGACCAUCUCCUAAGGCUAAAUACUCUCUAGUGACCGAUAGUGAACCAGUACCGUGAGGGAAAGGUGAAAAGCACCCCGGAAGGGGAGUGAAAUAGAACCUGAAACCGUGUGCUUACAAGUAGUCAGAGCCCGUUAAUGGGUGAUGGCGUGCCUUUUGUAGAAUGAACCGGCGAGUUACGAUUUGAUGCAAGGUUAAGCAGUAAAUGUGGAGCCGUAGCGAAAGCGAGUCUGAAUAGGGCGUUUAGUAUUUGGUCGUAGACCCGAAACCAGGUGAUCUACCCUUGGUCAGGUUGAAGUUCAGGUAACACUGAAUGGAGGACCGAACCGACUUACGUUGAAAAGUGAGCGGAUGAACUGAGGGUAGCGGAGAAAUUCCAAUCGAACCUGGAGAUAGCUGGUUCUCUCCGAAAUAGCUUUAGGGCUAGCCUCAAGUGAUGAUUAUUGGAGGUAGAGCACUGUUUGGACGAGGGGCCCCUCUCGGGUUACCGAAUUCAGACAAACUCCGAAUGCCAAUUAAUUUAACUUGGGAGUCAGAACAUGGGUGAUAAGGUCCGUGUUCGAAAGGGAAACAGCCCAGACCACCAGCUAAGGUCCCAAAAUAUAUG